GAACUCCUGCAUGAGGGAGCUACCAGAGGCCUGCUUUGCUACCCAAGUGCUUCAAGACUUUAGGAGCCUCCCAGUGAAUCCUUGGUUUGCCUUGUCCCUGGCUUUGGCUUCUGACCCCUUUGGUUCAUCCUGAUUUUGGCUACCACUUCUGAAUCUGGUUCUGACACCAGACCCCUCUGGAUACCAGGUCCCUGGGGGACCAACCUGAACUACACCCAAACUUUGGAUCUUUUAAGUGAUGAAACUCCAAAUAAACUAUCAG
Molecule: long non-coding RNA, 262 nt
Organism: Alligator sinensis (Chinese alligator)
Lineage: Eukaryota; Metazoa; Chordata; Crocodylia; Alligatoridae
Exons: 3
Source: RefSeq, a predicted model, not a curated record